This 2262-nucleotide ribosomal RNA is filed under the name Tricholomella constricta. RNAcentral's name for it is "23S ribosomal RNA". It matches the Rfam family "Bacterial large subunit ribosomal RNA". The record is from RNAcentral. Lineage: Eukaryota; Fungi; Basidiomycota; Agaricomycetes; Agaricales; Lyophyllaceae.
AAUAAACAUCAAAAAAAAUAAAAAAGUAAUUCAAAGGGGUUAUUAAGGAAAACUAAGGCAAAUUUAUAAAAAAAGGAGGUAUAUUACCAAAAGUUUAUAGGCUAUUAUUAGUAGUAUUAGUAGUAUUAGUAGUAUUAUCUGGUACCUAGUAGUAGCACAUAUGUGAACGAUCCUAAGGGAAACCUUGUUAAUUAAAUACUUUCUGAAGUAAAACAUUUUAUUAGGGAAAGGAAAAGAAAUCAACCGAGACUCCGAAAGUAAUGGUGAGUGAAAUCGGAUUAGCCAAAUUAAUAAAAUAAAUUGAAUAACUUAAAUAUUUAAAUAAAGUACGAUGAGAGAAACCUUGUCGGAAUAUAGGGGUACCAUCCUCUAAGGCUAAGUAUUAUAAAUUUAGCGAUAGUGAAUAAGUACUGUAAAGGAAAAGUUUGAAAAGCGAGUGGUAUACAAAAAAAGUGAAUUAUUAAAAUAUUUAAUAUAAAAAAAUUAAAAUUUUAAUAAUGAAUUGGUGAAAUAGAUCAUGAAUUAGUAACUCUAUAAGCAGUCGAAAUUCUACUUAAAAACAUAAAAGAAUAAUGAAUGACGGCGUACCUUUUGCAUAAUGGGUCAGCAAGUUAAUAGGAGUAGCAAGGUUUAAAGCCCUAGCGAAAGCGACUGGACUAUAAUUUAAAAAUACAAACAAAAAAAUUUGUAUUCUAAAAACAUAUAGUGAUGGGUCAGUUACUUCUAUUAGACCCGAAGCCAGGUGAUCUUACCAAGACCAGAUUAUAAUGGAUCGAACGGGUGAAUGUUGCAUAAUUCUCCGAUGAGUUUUGGUAAGCGGUGAAAUGCCAAUCUGACCUGGUGCUAGCUGGUUUUCUACCGAAACAUAUUUAAGUAUGACGUCUACACAAAAUUUAUGGAGGUACAGCAAGGCAAUUCCCAACAAGUUUAAGGGUUGUGUUUAUUAAAUUUUUUUUAUUAACACUUCUACCUUUUAGGCGUUUAGGUUGCGGGGACCUCGAAAAUCUUACCUUUGGAAGCGAAUCUCGGAAUUACAUAAAUUGAUGGUAGAUAUUCAGACUACUCAUGCUAAGUUGGGUAGUCAAGACGGAAACAGCCGAGAACACUGAUCAAGGUCCCAAAUGAUUGUUAAGUGAAAUUAAGGACGUAGCAAUAUCGUAUACAGCUGUGAAGUGAGCCUGGUAGUCGCUACUUUUAAUGAUCGUAUGUAACAACGCAUCAGCAGUCUAGAUAGUAGCGCCGAAAAUUUAACGGGUCUUAAACAAUCAACCGAUAUCGUGUUGGUUUAGAGUAUUAAGAGGGAUUAAUAUUUCAUAUUUAAUUAUAUUUUUUUUCAAUUAUAUAUUUAAUUAUAUUUUUUUAAUUAUAUAUUAAUUAUUUAUAAAUAUUAUGAAGCCUUUCUAUUUCUAAAUCUAGGUAGUAGAACAUUCAGUCAAACUAAUCAUAAAAUAGUGUUUCAUUAUUUUUUAGGUUACUGAAGAGAGAAUGCUGACAUGAGUAACGUAAAAAGAAGUUAUAAUACUUCUCGCCGAAUACGAAAGGGUUGCAAAUAGGAAAGGUUAAUCCAUUUUGUUUGAAUGCGGCCUCUAAGGACCAAAACCAAAGUUUUGGCUGAUGAGUAUAUAAUAGAAAGUCCAUUUUUUUAAUGGACCAGGAAAUUAAUAUUAUAAGUAAUAAUUUUUACUGUAUAACGAUGUCGACUCAUCCUAUCCUCCGGGGGAAGAAGCUUGGAAGGGUUCGGCUGUUCGCCGAUUAAAAGGGUACGUGAGUUGGGUUUAAUACGACGUGAGUCAGUAUGGUCCCUAUCUUCUGGAGGGAUAAUUAGUAAAAAGGGGCAGACCUUCUAGUACGAAAGGAUCAAUAGGCUGUGUUUCUCUAGUGUACCAAUUGUUUGUACUAUUUUGUUAGGGACUCAUCUCUUCAAUAGGAGAGAAGCGGGGAAAAUCCUUUUGAACUUUAAGCUAAAAUAGUUCUUUAAAUUAAAUACCCUUAAAUAAGGUUAUGAUAAAAGGUCACAAAAUAGGAACGCAUAGUUGGGUAGCCACAAACAUAAUAGAUAAGUGCUGAAUGUCUAUAAAGCAAGAAUCUAACCCCUAGAUACUUUAAAAAUGAUUAUUUAUUUUAAUUACAAGCUUAAUUUUUAAGUAUAAAUUAGAUUAAAAUAUCAUUAAUUAAGAAAUAGAACAUUUCUAGAUAGGCUGCAAAUGAAAUAUAUUGUAAAAUAUUUAGUUUAGCAGUACUAAUUUAUAAAGAAACUCGAUG